RNAcentral lists this ribosomal RNA (445 nucleotides) under uncultured bacterium. RNAcentral's name for it is "partial 16S ribosomal RNA". It matches the Rfam family "Bacterial small subunit ribosomal RNA", at positions 354 to 796 of the family's 1533-position model. The record is from RNAcentral.
GUAGGGAAUAUUGGGCAAUGGAUGCAAGUCUGACCCAGCCAUCCCGCGUGCCGGAAGAAGGCCCUCAGGGUUGUAAACGGCUUUUGACGGUGAAGAAUCGACAGGAUGCGUCCUGUUUUGACGGUAGCCGUUGAAUAAGCACCGGCUAACUCCGUGCCAGCAGCCGCGGUAAUAUGGAGGGUGCGAGCGUUGUCCGGAUUUAUUGGGUUUAAAGGGUGCGUAGGCUGGUAGGUCAGUCAGCGGUGAAAAGCUGUCGCUUAACGAUAGUCUUGCCGCAGAUACUUCCUUUCUUGGAUGAGGAGGAGGCCACUGGAACGGAUGGUGUAGCGGUGAAAUGCAUAGAUAUCAUCCAGAACACCGAUUGCGAAGGCAGGUGGCUGUACCUUAAUCGACGCUGAUGCACGAAAGCAUGGGGAGCAAACAGGAUUAGAAACCCGAGUAGUCC